RNAcentral lists this transfer RNA (78 nucleotides) under Deltaproteobacteria bacterium. RNAcentral's name for it is "tRNA-Arg". It matches the Rfam family "tRNA". From Rfam's summary of the family: Transfer RNA (tRNA) molecules are approximately 80 nucleotides in length. The record is from RNAcentral. Lineage: Bacteria; Pseudomonadati; Myxococcota; Myxococcia.
GCGCCCUUAGCGUAAGCUGGAUAGAGCACUUGACUACGAAUUAAGUGGUCAGAAGCUCGAAUACUCUGGGGCGCGCCA